This is a long non-coding RNA of Lates calcarifer (barramundi perch), 1193 nucleotides long. RefSeq lists it as uncharacterized. Lineage: Eukaryota; Metazoa; Chordata; Actinopteri; Centropomidae. The transcript has 3 exons. The record is from RefSeq and is a predicted model, not a curated record.
GGAGCGCAGAGAGGCGGAGAGACGAGGUCGGAAAACAGAUUAAAACCAACGUUUGAACUGUUGCCUCGGUUUGUCAGUACUGUGAAAAAACGUACUUAGUGAAGAAGCCUGGCAGUCUAAACAAGCUUUGAAGCUGCCUUUUUGUCGAACACGAGUGAGGCUGGACGCUGAACACACCUGCGGCGUGAAGGUGUCACCACGUAGCCCACGAUCACAGAGACAUGGUCCAUGAUCAGAGAGACAUUGUUGAGGAUGAGGGAGACAUGGUCCACGUUCAGAGACGUUGUCCAUGAUCGCAGAGACCUUGUCAAAGAUGAGAGAGACGUUGUCCAUGAUCAGAGAUAUUGUCCCAUGCUUCGUAGAGACCUUGCGAUAGAAUCGGCGGAGACGGGGGUCACCGAUUUGAAGGCAUUGCCCGCGAUCAUGGAGACAUUGUCGAUGAUCACAGAGACAGCGUCUAUGAUCUCAGAGACAUCGUCCACGAUCUCAAAGACAUUGUCCAUGAUCGCAGAGACUUUGUCCAUAAUCUCAGAGACAUUGUCCGUGAUCACAGGGACGUAGUCCACGAUCACAGAGAGUCUUCGUACAACGAAGAAGUUCUUUGAGACCAGGACAGAGGCCUCAAGGUGUCACCACGUAGCCCACGAUCACAGAGACAUGGUCCAUGAUCAGAGAGACAUUGUUGAGGAUGAGGGAGACAUGGUCCACGUUCAGAGACGUUGUCCAUGAUCGCAGAGACCUUGUCAAAGAUGAGAGAGACAUUGACCAUGAUCAGAGAUAUUGUCCCAUGCUUCGUAGAGACCUUGCGAUAGAAUCGGCGGAGACGGGGGUCACCGAUUUGAAGGCAUUGCCCGCGAUCAUGGAGACAUUGUCGAUGAUCACAGAGACAGCGUCUAUGAUCUCAGAGACAUCGUCCACGAUCUCAAAGACAUUGUCCAUGAUCGCAGAGACUUUGUCCAUAAUCUCAGAGACAUUGUCCGUGAUCACAGGGACGUAGUCCACGAUCACAGAGUCUUCGUACAACGAAGAAGUUCUUUGAGACCAGGACAGAGGCCUCAAGAUAAUUCACAAACCGCUUUACAUCAACUGUCCAAUACAGAAUACUGACAUUAAACUGUUUAUAUUUAGUAUUCAGUAUAUUAGAAGUGUAAAAUAGAAGUAAUAUGCAAUAUAAAAAUAAUGUAGAAGUAAUC